CUCUAUAAUGACUAGAUACAAGGUAAACUAGAUGUUAAUUCCAGAAAUGGUUCAGUAAAAAUUCUGCUAGUAUGAAUACAAGGUAUUAUAUAUGAUACACUUAUUCUGAACAAUAACUAAACUUAUUCUGUUUCUGUCACUGCUUUAUUUGGCAUCACUGGACAUUUCAAUCUGCUUCCAUUCUUCAUAGGCUUCUCUUCUCCAUGGCUACUUCUCCUUUAUGAUAAGCAUGUAAUGCAUCUUCUAAUCUUUUUCAAUUAACACAUCAAUUUACCUAAUCAAGAAACGCAAACAACCCAGAUUGGCAUCCAUUUAAUGAAAGAAAUAUUCAAAGUUCAUGAUACCUUAUUUGAUAUGAUUGCAAUUCUUACUUGAAUUUCACAUUGAUGCAUCAUCCUUCCAGCCCGCAAUUUUUAUGUAACAUGUUCCCAUAUCAUACCUUCCU
This 445-nucleotide long non-coding RNA is filed under the name Aquilegia coerulea. Its description in RNAcentral is "long non-coding RNA (ACOE_LNC002162)". Lineage: Eukaryota; Viridiplantae; Streptophyta; Magnoliopsida; Ranunculales; Ranunculaceae. The record is from RNAcentral.